AAUGAAAGUCGAGCGGUAGAGAGGUGCUUGCACUCUCUGGAGAGCGGCGGACGGGUGAGUAAUGCCUAGGAAUCUGCCUGGUAGUGGGGGAUAACGCUCGGAAACGGACGCUAAUACCGCAUACGUCCUACGGGAGAAAGCAGGGGACCUUCGGGCCUUGCGCUAUCAGAUGAGCCUAGGUCGGAUUAGCUAGUUGGUGGGGUAAUGGCUCACCAAGGCGACGAUCCGUAACUGGUCUGAGAGGAUGAUCAGUCACACUGGAACUGAGACACGGUCCAGACUCCUACGGGAGGCAGCAGUGGGGAAUAUUGGACAAUGGGCGAAAGCCUGAUCCAGCCAUGCCGCGUGUGUGAAGAAGGUCUUCGGAUUGUAAAGCACUUUAAGUUGGGAGGAAGGGCAUUAACCUAAUACGUUAGUGUUUUGACGUUACCGACAGAAUAAGCACCGGCUAACUCUGUGCCAGCAGCCGCGGUAAUACAGAGGGUGCAAGCGUUAAUCGGAAUUACUGGGCGUAAAGCGCGCGUAGGUGGUUCGUUAAGUUGGAUGUGAAAUCCCCGGGCUCAACCUGGGAACUGCAUUCAAAACUGUCGAGCUAGAGUAUGGUAGAGGGUGGUGGAAUUUCCUGUGUAGCGGUGAAAUGCGUAGAUAUAGGAAGGAACACCAGUGGCGAAGGCGACCACCUGGACUGAUACUGACACUGAGGUGCGAAAGGUGGGGAGCAAACAGGAUUAGAUACCCUGGUAGUCCACGCCGUAAACGAUGUCAACUAGCCGUUGGGAGCCUUGAGCUCUUAGUGGCGCACUAAACGCAUUAAGUUGACCGCCUGGGGAGUACGGCCGCAAGGUUAAAACUCAAAUAAUUGACGGGGGCCCGCACAAGCGGUGGAGCAUGUGGUUUAAUUCGAAGCAACGCGAAGAACCUUACCAGGCCUUGACAUCCAAUGAACUUUCCAGAGAUGGAUUGGUGCCUUCGGGAACAUUGAGACAGGUGCUGCAUGGCUGUCGUCAU
RNAcentral lists this ribosomal RNA (1008 nucleotides) under uncultured bacterium. RNAcentral describes it as "bacterial SSU rRNA". It matches the Rfam family "Bacterial small subunit ribosomal RNA", at positions 54 to 1058 of the family's 1533-position model. The record is from RNAcentral.